GUUUCGUGUUUUAUUUUCUAGAAGUUCCGCUUCUGCAUAUGUAAUAACAGAAUCCUUUGUGGGUACAAUACAAUAGACAUGUGUGUAGGGUUAUUUUAGUUUAUUUGUUUUGGUAGCGAGUCAGAUAACCAGCGAAAAAGAAUAUAGAAAAGAAAACAUGCCGAAUGCUCCUGGAUAUGAAUGGUACUUACAUGUAAAAAAAGUUGCAUAGAAAUCAUAAUGGGCCAGAUGAGGCUUAGAAAAGCAGCAUAACCCUGCUGUUCAACAUCUGCCAAGGAUCUGGACCUAUAUUUUGCCUGUACUGUCAGAGGCUUCAGGAAACCUAAUAAUGUUCACAGAAAUGAUAACUUCAGGAGAGCCUGUGGGAGAGGAUGAAUUCUGCUGCAGCCUUUCUACAUCAAAAAAAGAUCCUUUUCAGCACAAGAUCCUAAUGCUACUACUGAAGUGCAAAAGUGUCCUGGCAUCUCUGAACAAAUAGAAAAUGUCCCAGCAAUCCAAAUUCCCCCGAGGCACCGAAGUUUGGGGAAGGACGUUUGCUGUGCAGGCGCCCCGUUUGUGAGCGCUGGAGCGGCUGGCUCAGUGUCCCACAGGACACCUCCGCUGUUCUUAUAUCAUCACUGUGGAUGCUUCUUACUUCAGAGAACAAGAGAAAGGAAAUGUUUUGUUCUGCAGAUUUGUUUCUUUAUUUUGAUAUUUAAAUUAAAAUGUUGAAUUUUAUUGUGUGCUUUAUAUCUUCUUUUAAACCCUUCUGAAAUAAAGAGUGUAUUGCUCACUCUGAAUGAGUAAAA
RNAcentral lists this long non-coding RNA (788 nucleotides) under Junco hyemalis (dark-eyed junco). RNAcentral's name for it is "lncRNA (ENSJHYG00000004420.1)". Lineage: Eukaryota; Metazoa; Chordata; Aves; Passeriformes; Passerellidae. The record is from RNAcentral.